This 559-nucleotide ribosomal RNA is filed under the name Priestia flexa. RNAcentral describes it as "bacterial SSU rRNA". It matches the Rfam family "Bacterial small subunit ribosomal RNA", at positions 553 to 1107 of the family's 1533-position model. Lineage: Bacteria; Bacillati; Bacillota; Bacilli; Caryophanales; Bacillaceae. The record is from RNAcentral.
AUUGGGCGUAAGCGCGCGCAGGCGGUUUCUUAAGUCUGAUGUGAAAGCCCACGGCUCAUCCGUGGAGGGUCAUUGGAAACUGGGGAACUUGAGUGCCUUAGAGAAAAGCGGAAUUCCACGUGUAGCGGUGAAAUGCGUAGAGAUGUGGAGGAACACCAGUGGCGAAGGCGGCUCUCUUUGGUCUGUAACUGACGCUGAGGCGCGAAAGCGUGGGGAGCAAACAGGAUUAGAUACCCUGGUAGUCCACGCCGUAAACGAUGAGUGCUAAGUGUUAGAGGGUUUCCGCCCUUUAGUGCUGCAGCUAACGCAUUAAGCACUCCGCCUGGGGAGUACGGUCGCAAGACUGAAACUCAAAGGAAUUGACGGGGGCCCGCACAAGCGGUGGAGCAUGUGGUUUAAUUCUAAUUUACGCGAAGAACCUUACCAGGUCUUGACAUCGGCUGACAACUCUAGAGAUAGAGCGUUCCCCUUCGGGGGACAGAGUGACAGGUGGUGCAUGGUUGUCGUCAGCUCGUGUCGUGAGAUGUUGGGUUAAGUCCCGCAACGAGCGCAACCCUUG